RNAcentral lists this ribosomal RNA (483 nucleotides) under uncultured soil bacterium. RNAcentral describes it as "bacterial SSU rRNA". It matches the Rfam family "Bacterial small subunit ribosomal RNA", at positions 26 to 505 of the family's 1533-position model. The record is from RNAcentral.
AGAGUGAACGCUGGCGGCAGGCCUAACACAUGCAAGUCGAGCGGCAGCACAGUCGUAGCAAUACGAUGGGUGGCGAGCGGCGGACGGGUGAGGAAUGCAUCGGAAUCUACCUUGUUGUGGGGGAUAACGUAGGGAAACUUACGCUAAUACCGCAUGAGACCGUAAGGUGAAAGCGGGGGACCUGUGAGGGCCUCGCGCGACAAGAUGAGCCGAUGCCGGAUUAGCUAGUUGGUGGGGUAAAGGCCCACCAAGGCGACGAUCCGUAGCUGGUCUGAGAGGAUGAUCAGCCACACUGGAACUGAGACACGGUCCAGACUCCUACGGGAGCAGCAGUGGGGAAUAUUGGACAAUGGGCGCAAGCCUGAUCCAGCCAUGCCGCGUGUGUGAAGAAGGCCUUCGGUGUAAAGCACUUUGUUGGGAAGAAAGUCCUGGGAUUAAGUGCUCCCGGUGCUGACGUACCAAAGAAUAAGCACGCUAACUGUG